Molecule: non-coding RNA, 22 nt
Filed under: Arabidopsis thaliana (thale cress)
Lineage: Eukaryota; Viridiplantae; Streptophyta; Magnoliopsida; Brassicales; Brassicaceae
Source: RNAcentral
GAAACUUCAUCAGCUGUCCAGC